RNAcentral lists this ribosomal RNA (331 nucleotides) under uncultured eukaryote. RNAcentral describes it as "partial 18S ribosomal RNA". It matches the Rfam family "Eukaryotic small subunit ribosomal RNA", at positions 1470 to 1796 of the family's 1831-position model. The record is from RNAcentral.
CCCUUAGAUGUCCGGGGCUGCACGCGCGCUACACUGAAGGAAUCAGCGUGCUAGAAAACCUUGUUUGACAUGGCUAGGUAACCCGUUGAAAAUCUUUCGUGAUUGGGAUCGGGACUUGCAAAUGUGUCCCUUGAACGAGGAAUUCCCAGUAAGUGCGGGUCAUAAGCUCGCGCUGAUUACGUCCCUGCCCUUUGUACACACCGCCCGUCGCUGCCCGGAACUGGGCCGUUUCGAGAAGACUGGGGACUGCGAACUUUGGGCUGGAAAACAGCUUUUUGUUUGUGGAAACCACUUUAAUCGCAGCGGCUUGAACCGGGCAAAAGUCGUAACA